This 497-nucleotide ribosomal RNA is filed under the name uncultured bacterium. Its description in RNAcentral is "partial 16S ribosomal RNA". It matches the Rfam family "Bacterial small subunit ribosomal RNA", at positions 28 to 507 of the family's 1533-position model. The record is from RNAcentral.
GAUGAACGCUGGCGGCGUGCCUAAUACAUGCAAGUCGAGCGAACAGAUGAGGAGCUUGCUCCUCUGACGUUAGCGGCGGACGGGUGAGUAACACGUGGAUAACCUACCUAUAAGACUGGGAUAACUUCGGGAAACCGGAGCUAAUACCGGAUAAUAUAUUGAACCGCAUGGUUCAAUAGUGAAAGACGGUUUUGCUGUCACUUAUAGAUGGAUCCGCGCCGCAUUAGCUAGUUGGUAAGGUAACGGCUUACCAAGGCAACGAUGCGUAGCCGACCUGAGAGGUGGGCCGGCCACACGGGAACGGAGCCACGGUCCAGACUCCUACGGGAGGCAGAAGUAGGGAAUCUUCCGAAAUGGGCGAAAGCCGGACGGAGCAACGCCGCGUGAGUGAUGAAGGUCUUCGGAUCGAAAAACUCUGUUAUUAGGGAAGAACAAAUGUGUAAGUAACUGUGCACGUCUUGACGGUACCUAAUCAGAAAGCCACGGCUAACUACGUG